Molecule: ribosomal RNA, 935 nt
Filed under: Escherichia coli
Lineage: Bacteria; Pseudomonadati; Pseudomonadota; Gammaproteobacteria; Enterobacterales; Enterobacteriaceae
Description: partial 23S ribosomal RNA
Rfam family: Bacterial large subunit ribosomal RNA
Source: RNAcentral
AUAAUGGGUCAGCGACUUAUAUUCUGUAGCAAGGUUAACCGAAUAGGGGAGCCGAAGGGAAACCGAGUCUUAACUGGGCGUUAAGUUGCAGGGUAUAGACCCGAAACCCGGUGAUCUAGCCAUGGGCAGGUUGAAGGUUGGGUAACACUAACUGGAGGACCGAACCGACUAAUGUUGAAAAAUUAGCGGAUGACUUGUGGCUGGGGGUGAAAGGCCAAUCAAACCGGGAGAUAGCUGGUUCUCCCCGAAAGCUAUUUAGGUAGCGCCUCGUGAAUUCAUCUCCGGGGGUAGAGCACUGUUUCGGCAAGGGGGUCAUCCCGACUUACCAACCCGAUGCAAACUGCGAAUACCGGAGAAUGUUAUCACGGGAGACACACGGCGGGUGCUAACGUCCGUCGUGAAGAGGGAAACAACCCAGACCGCCAGCUAAGGUCCCAAAGUCAUGGUUAAGUGGGAAACGAUGUGGGAAGGCCCAGACAGCCAGGAUGUUGGCUUAGAAGCAGCCAUCAUUUAAAGAAAGCGUAAUAGCUCACUGGUCGAGUCGGCCUGCGCGGAAGAUGUAACGGGGCUAAACCAUGCACCGAAGCUGCGGCAGCGACGCUUAUGCGUUGUUGGGUAGGGGAGCGUUCUGUAAGCCUGCGAAGGUGUGCUGUGAGGCAUGCUGGAGGUAUCAGAAGUGCGAAUGCUGACAUAAGUAACGAUAAAGCGGGUGAAAAGCCCGCUCGCCGGAAGACCAAGGGUUCCUGUCCAACGUUAAUCGGGGCAGGGUGAGUCGACCCCUAAGGCGAGGCCGAAAGGCGUAGUCGAUGGGAAACAGGUUAAUAUUCCUGUACUUGGUGUUACUGCGAAGGGGGGACGGAGAAGGCUAUGUUGGCCGGGCGACGGUUGUCCAGGUUUAAGCGUGUAGGCUGGUUUUCCAGGCAAAUCCGGAAAAC